Small nuclear RNA from Sorex araneus (European shrew), 162 nucleotides. Its record names the gene U1. It matches the Rfam family "U1 spliceosomal RNA". Rfam says of the family: U1 is a small nuclear RNA (snRNA) component of the spliceosome (involved in pre-mRNA splicing). Its 5' end forms complementary base pairs with the 5' splice junction, thus defining the 5' donor site of an intron. NCBI's taxonomy places the organism in Eukaryota, Metazoa, Chordata, Mammalia, Eulipotyphla, Soricidae. The record is from Ensembl.
AUCCUUACCUGGCAGGGAAGACACCAUGAUCACAAAGGUGGUUUUCUCAGGGUGUGGCUUAUCCACUGCUUUCUCAUGUGUUGACCUCUGUGAUUUUCCCAAAUAUGGGAAACUUGACUGUGUAAUUUGUGGUAGUGUGGAAUUGCAUUUGCGCUCUCCCCU